UGAGUAACCUGCCCCUGGCUUUGGGAUAACCAUCGGAAACGGUGGCUAAUACCGAAUAUUCACUUUGGACCGCAUGGUUUUUUGUGGAAAGUUUUUCGGCUGGGGAUGGGCUCGCGGCCUAUCAGCUUGUUGGUGGGGUGAUGGCCUACCAAGGCGACGACGGGUAGCCGGCCUGAGAGGGCGACCGGCCACACUGGGACUGAGACACGGCCCAGACUCCUACGGGAGGCAG
This 232-nucleotide ribosomal RNA is filed under the name uncultured bacterium. RNAcentral describes it as "partial 16S ribosomal RNA". It matches the Rfam family "Bacterial small subunit ribosomal RNA", at positions 118 to 351 of the family's 1533-position model. The record is from RNAcentral.